RNAcentral lists this long non-coding RNA (5415 nucleotides) under Sus scrofa (pig). RNAcentral describes it as "lncRNA (ENSSSCG00015050815.1)". Lineage: Eukaryota; Metazoa; Chordata; Mammalia; Artiodactyla; Suidae. The record is from RNAcentral.
GCAGCCUCGCCGCCCUAGCCCGCCGCUUCCCGGCGCUCAGCCUCUGCGCCAGAGGCGAGCGCUGCGCUCCGGGCGCCGCAAUCCUGAGGACACGGCCUCUUCGACACCUCCAGCCCCGGGGAAUCGGCAGUAUCAGCGGCGGGAGCGGCCGCAGCCGCCUCGGCUCCUCUCUGGAGUCCUUCCCAUCACCUCGCUGAGAGCCUGUCCCAGCCACGGGGACAUCUCUUUCGUCCUUCCUCGUCGGCUUGUGGGACCGACGGACGAAAGCGGGGACCGAGGGCCGGACCGCAGGCAGCGACAAGCACCUGGUGGACGGUGUUCCCGAGCACCUUCUGAAAUUACUACUCGCACCUUUCCUGGGACACUUUCUUAAAAGGACCAGCAAGCCUCCAGUUGACGUGGCUAGAAUCCCAGAUUCAUGGAGCUGUUGAAGAGCACAUCUCAGUGGUCUCCCUAAGUCUGGCUGAGCAUCACACACCAGAGGGACAUCGGACUUAAAAAAAACAAAAACAAAAACUGCAGCGUUUGGAUCUUUUCCUGCCUUAAAAGCAAGAAAAAUGGAAAAUUGAUAAUCAAAGGUAAAACUAUCUCCUUUCCCUUUAAGUAACCUCUCUUUACAGCUUCCUCUUCAAUCACUCUGUGUGAGGAAACUUUUUUUUCUUCUUUUGAUCGCGUGAUGUAAUUGAAUACAAAUAUUUCUGGUUUGUACUCCAGACAUAUUAAUAUGCUGCUGACGUAGGAAGUCUGUGUUGUUUUGUUGUUUUAACUCCUUAGUUGCCUGUUCAGAAUCUGGACCAGAUGGGUUUUAUAUGUUUAAUCUUCAUUCUUGGUGUGGAUCUAGAGUGGCAGAUCAGGAAAGUGCCAUUUUUGUAAAUUUCUGGGCCAAAAUGUUGUACUUGGGGUUAGGCGUGGAAUUGUGGAAGUGGAUGACAUAGUACGUAUCAGCUUCUCUUUUCUUCGCGCGCUGGACAGAUUUGCAUCUAUCAUCACAGCCAGGAUCAAGUUAAGCUCUGUGAGGUAAGAAUGGAGACACUUGAUGGGAUGCUGUGGUCUCCACUCCUUUCAUUUUAUGAUGUAGUUGAAGGAAAGAAUAAAGAAAGGUCUUAACGAUACAAAAAUAAAAAACACUGCAUUCAUGGUAUCAGACUAAAGGGGAUUGGUAUUGCGGAGUGUAUCAAUAAUCCAUCAUCUUUGUUUUGGUUGCUUGCCUGGGACAACGGAAGGGGCAUGAUCAUUUACUGGUGAUCCAGAGGAAUGGGGAGACUGAAGGGGGGACGAAGUAAAGACCCACACAAGAGCAGAUGAAUGAUUUCUCCUCUGUGGACAUGGGGACAUGUUUCCCCUGGGACUUCCAAGAGGGUCUGGGGGUCCCUCUUAGAAUUUCUUCUUGAAGGAUGUAUAGCUAAAUGUUCAUCCACUGGCUUUACCCCCUUGGUUGUAGAUUGCUCCCGGAUCAUUAACUCCGACACAAUUCUGGGCUGGGCUGGCACUUGUCUCUUGUCAUAGACACUAUAAAGGCAAAGAGAAUCAGAAUUGGCCUAGAAUUGGCCAAGGCAGCAAUCAGAGGUGGGCCAAGGGGGUGUGAUGCAGGGCACUAGUGGUGUCUGUUGUAGUUCUUUUCACUUUAUUUUCAAUUAUCAAUUAAAUCACAAUGAUCCUCCUAAACGAACUAUUUUUGUGUUUUAAAGACAGUGGAGAGUUCUAUCCAAAUGGCGUAGGAGCAAAGCAACCUCUGUUUCAAAACUAACCUCUUCCUUAAUAAAUUGUCCAUGUUCAAAGUGAAAGAAAGGUACAUCUUGGUCCAUAGGUACCUUUGCCAUUAUAUAGUAAGACCUGAAGUAUGGCCAAAUUAGUGGACUAGAGAUAUAAUAGAAUAACAUUUUGUAAUACCUUACUGCUCACCAUUAUGUUGAUUUCUGUACAAGAAGGUAUCUGUGGAUAUGUAAAAAUAUAUUUAUUGUCUUUCCUCUUUGGAAACAAUCCCAUGAGCAGGGUCAGUAUUUGUGUGAAAAGUAUGACUUAACUGAUGCAUGUCCAAGCAUAAAGUUACAAGGAUGGUCUGCUGGCAAAAUAGAUUUGACACAUUAAAGUGAAUUGGAGUUUUUUUCCCCACCUUGAGGACAUUCAGUAGAUUAAAGAAAGCUAAGUAAAGGCUAGGGUUGUGUGGUGACCCAGAAGAUCCUUUGUGCAAAGGAGGAAUGUAUUCUGUGAAUUCUUUAAGGAUCAGCUAUUAAAGCAAGUGGACAAGCAAACAUUUCACCUGAUGCACAUUUCCAUGCAAAUUUAUAAUUAAGGGAAUGAAAAUGGAGAGAUGAAGGGAAAGGGCAGCAGAAGGAAGCAGAGCAGAGGAACCAAGGAAGCAGUGACAGGUGGCAAGGCAGACAUCCUCAGAGUGGGCAGAAUCAAACUAGAGAAGGAAGAGAAUCCCACCACAGUGGAGAGAUACAUCUUAGGGCAGAGCACAUCCAGACUGAGCGAGUGGCCCCAGUUCUUUUGAGGUCUGAUAUAUCCCUAGGUCAUCACGGAAAAAGUCAAUCACUUUGGCUUCUCACCUGAACAGUGCAGUUGCUUCUCAACCGUCUUCCUCUUGGUGGUGGCAGUAGGCUCUAAAAUGCUCCUUACACAAAAGUUCUGAUCAUGUCUGGUCUUGCCUCAGAAAAUUUAUUUUUUUUAUUUAUUUUUAUUUUUUAUUUUAUAUUUUUGCUAUUUUAGGGCUGUACCUGUGGCACAUGGAGGUUCUCAGGCUAGGGGUGGCAUCACAGCUAUAGCCACUGGCCACAGCCACAGCCACAUCAACGGGCAAUCCAAGCCAUGUCUGCAACCUACACCACAGCUCACGGCAACAUCAGAUCCUUAACCCACUGAGCGAGGCCAAGGACCAAACCUGAAUCCUCAUGGAUCCUAGUUAGGUUCGUUAACCACUGAGCCAUGAUGGGAACUCCCGUCCAAACUUCUUCAUCAAAUCUUUAAAACAUGCCCCUCUAAGUUUUCAGACUUAUUUUUUUGAUUCCUUGACUUCACUUACCAUGGGUCUAGACCCUUGGUCAGUAAGGCAAAUUCUGUGAUCUAUCAACUCAUCUACAUGAUUUGGAUGCAUUUGGUUCUCAAGCAUAGGUUGGUCUGGGACAGGGCCCAAGAAUUGGCAUAGCGAAAACGUUCCCAGACUUUGUUGCUGCUGGUGGUCCAAAAACCUUACUUUGAGAAUCUUUCUAUAAAACAAAGGGUCCAGGCUGGCCCUAUAAUUUCUACAUUGCAGUUAGAGUCAAAGAGUAACAGCCUUAAAAAGGCUGCCAACAUCACCCUUGUGGAGAAGUGUACUAAUUUAAGAAUAGGGUCUGUCUUCGUCAGAUACCAUCUUAAGGUCAUAAAAGUCCCCAUGAUAAGCUUUGUGAUAUAUUUUGUUAUCCCCCGCUGUGUUACAGAAUCAUACAUAUUUUUUGGAUGGUUGGAUGGAUAGAUGGAUGGAUAGCUGGGUGGAAGGGAGGAAGGAAAGAAGAAGAGAGGGAGGGAUGCCUGCACAAAUUUGACAACUAAGGGUUGGUUUCAGCAAGAAUCUUAACACUUACAAAGAACCUGUUCUGGCAUAUGCCAUUAGGGAGAGACUAAUUGCCUUCACAUGAAAAUCGUACUCAAUAUAUCAGACAUUUGAUUAGGUGGAAUACUGUGUAUUCAGAGCCUGAAUGUCUGGGUAUCAAUAGUCCUGUGCUCUUUAAUAAGCACAGUCUUUCACAAAAGACUUCUUGCUCUUUGAUUGAGUACAACACGGGGGAGAGGUCAUUUAUACCAAGAGAAAUUGUACAUUUUACUUUAUAAAAGAGCCAGAGGCUAUGUGAAACCAGGAAAUCACAUCUUUUUAAUAAAUUGCUUUGCAAAUGUCUCUUCCUUGAGUUUAAAUUUUGCAGCUGCAGCAUAAUUUGCAUGUUUAUUCCCAUUUAGGCCAAUUGUGCAUUCUGGUUUUUUGCUUUCUUGCAUUCAAAUGUGUUCACGUAUCAAUGUUGCACAUCUUCUCUCUGCAUCUUUUAUGUGCAUUCAUCAACCCAUGAUUGGCUUGGUAAAUUUAUCCUACUUUUCUUGCUAAAAUAACUGUUCCUGCUGUCUGUUUUCUGCCUACUCUUUGAUUUAUUCUAGAAAUUGGGCUCAAUGCCUACCUUUAGAGCUCAGUGUGAAAUUUAUUCUGUAUGUUUUUAAACCCAGUUCUAACAUUUUUUUUCCUGAUAUGGGUUCUGUAGUGGCAUUAGCUUCAAAGUGCACCCUUGAAAGAGCCUCAUUAUGUAUUAGCGUAAAAAAAUAGUGAUGAAUGAAAACAUGAAUCUCAAAAAUUUCUUUUAAAAGUGAAUUUCAUAUUUCACCUUAACAGGGGAAAAUUAAAAUUUUCAUAUCCUGCUAUGCCAUGCCUAAUAUUAAGCAUAAAGGAAUGAAUCUAGUUCCAAAUUUGUUAUUACCUUGAUAUGUCCUUGUCUGGAGUCUUUAGGCUUUAGCUACCUCCAUUAUAAAAAGAAGGAUUUAGGAUAAAUGUCCCUAAGGGAUUCAUUCCAGUUCUUGAUUUUACAGUCUCAGGAUGCAGGUUAUAUGAAAUACUAUUUAUAAAUCAAACACAACAGUAUGAAAAGUCAGUUCGUCAAAUAAUAUGGCACCUAUUUGGCAAUAAAGUUGAAAGAGCAGAGUUUUGAGUAUUGAAAGAUCUGCAUUCAAACCCUCGCUCUUUCACUUAUAUGAGUUUGGAGAAUUUAUGGAAUCACCCUAUGUUCCUUUAGUAUCUUCAUCUGUAAAAUGCGAGCUGUGCUGUAACUAUCUGCAAGGUCACUUUAAAGACUAGGGAUAAUCUGAAAACUAUCUAGCACUUACCUGCUCAACAUAGCUAGCUGUGAAGAUCACUACAGGCAUCUAAGCUGAACCAGAGUCCAAACUAUGGUUUCCGAGGUUCAUGGAGAGCCUGUCCUUCUCUACUAUAAUUCUCCAAGGCUAAGAAAUGUUCAUUUGUGACUCUAAAAGAUGAAUCCAGUUUGGAAAAUGUCUCCAUAAUUUAGUCAUCUGAGACUAGCAAGACUAGUGGGAAAAUUCAACAUAGGUUUUCAAGCAGACAGGGCAUCUUGUUGUAUACGCUGGGGGUGAUUACACAGAGCAAGCAAGGCCUUUUCAUCAACACUGACUUCUUCAGGGAGUUACCAUCAUGGCUCAGCAAAUUAUGGCCCUGACUAGCAUCCAUGGGGAAGAGGGCUGUUUCCCUGGCCUCGCUUAGUGGGCUAAGGAUCCAUCGUUGCCUUGAGCUGUGGUGUAGGUCGCAGGCAUAGCUCAGAUCCCCCGUUGCUGUGGCUGUGGUGUAGGCCAGCAGCUGCAGGUCCCAUUGGACCCCUAGCCUGGGUACCUCCAUGUGCUGUGGGUGUGGCUCUAAAAAGCAAAAAACAAAAACAAAAA